Molecule: unclassified non-coding RNA, 246 nt
Filed under: Hevea brasiliensis (rubber tree)
Lineage: Eukaryota; Viridiplantae; Streptophyta; Magnoliopsida; Malpighiales; Euphorbiaceae
Source: RNAcentral
GAAAAUGAAUGGAGUAAUUACUUAAAAAUUUUUUCAAUGUAAUUACUAAAAUUUAAGAAUUAAUUAAUAAAAUUAUGACAAUGUCCAAAAAUUUACAAAUGAGUGGAGAGAGCCUUCUGGCUCAAGGGCCAUGGCCCAAAUUACACAAUUUGUCAAUAUUCUACACUUGAUAAUGACAUGAAGGAAAUUUCUUAUCAACAUAAACACCAAAUAAAAAAAUGUAUACAUGAUUAUAAUGGUUUUAAC